GAUUCAUUAGCUCAGCCGGUAGAGCACCUGACUUUUAAUCAGGGUGUCCGGGGUUCGAAUCCCCGAUGGAUCACCA
RNAcentral lists this transfer RNA (76 nucleotides) under Parvimonas micra. RNAcentral's name for it is "tRNA-Lys". It matches the Rfam family "tRNA". From Rfam's summary of the family: Transfer RNA (tRNA) molecules are approximately 80 nucleotides in length. The record is from RNAcentral. RNAcentral also lists the same sequence under 3 other names. Lineage: Bacteria; Bacillati; Bacillota; Tissierellia; Tissierellales; Peptoniphilaceae.